This 683-nucleotide ribosomal RNA is filed under the name uncultured Bacilli bacterium. RNAcentral describes it as "bacterial SSU rRNA". It matches the Rfam family "Bacterial small subunit ribosomal RNA", at positions 60 to 702 of the family's 1533-position model. The record is from RNAcentral. Lineage: Bacteria; Bacillati; Bacillota; Bacilli.
AGUCGAACGCACUCUCGUUUAGAUUGAAGGAGCUUGCUCCUGAUUGAUAAACAUUUGAGUGAGUGGCGGACGGGUGAGUAACACGUGGGUAACCUGCCCUAAAGUGGGGGAUAACAUUUGGAAACAGAUGCUAAUACCGCAUAAAACCUAACACCGCACGGUGUAGGGUUGAAAGAUGGUUUCGGCUAUCACUUUAGGAUGGACCCGCGGUGCAUUAGUUAGUUGGUGAGGUAAAGGCUCACCAAGACCGUGAUGCAUAGCCGACCUGAGAGGGUAAUCGGCCACACUGGGACUGAGACACGGCCCAGACUCCUACGGGAGGCAGCAGUAGGGAAUCUUCCACAAUGGACGAAAGUCUGAUGGAGCAACGCCGCGUGAGUGAAGAAGGUUUUCGGAUCGUAAAACUCUGUUGUUGGAGAAGAAUGUAUCUGAUAGUAACUGAUCAGGUAGUGACGGUAUCCAACCAGAAAGCCACGGCUAACUACGUGCCAGCAGCCGCGGUAAUACGUAGGUGGCAAGCGUUGUCCGGAUUUAUUGGGCGUAAAGCGAGCGCAGGCGGUUUCUUAAGUCUGAUGUGAAAGCCUUCGGCUCAACCGAAGAAGUGCAUCGGAAACUGGGAAACUUGAGUGCAGAAGAGGACAGUGGAACUCCAUGUGUAGCGGUGAAAUGCGUAGAUAUAUGGA